AUGAACGCUGGCGGCGUGCCUAAUACAUGCAAGUCGAGCGAGCGGACGAGAAGCUUGCUUCUCUGAUGUUAGCGGCGGACGGGUGAGUAACACGUGGAUAACCUACCUAUAAGACUGGGAUAACUUCGGGAAACCGUAGCUAAUACCGGAUAGUAUUUUGAACCGCAUGGUUCAAAAGUGAAAGACGGUCUUGCUGUCACUUAUAGAUGGAUCCGCGCUGCAUUAGCUAGUUGGUAAGGUAACGGCUUACCAAGGCAACGAUGCAUAGCCGACCUGAGAGGGUGAUCGGCCACACUGGAACUGAGACACGGUCCAGACUCCUACGGGAGGCAGCAGUAGGGAAUCUUCCGCAAUGGGCGAAAGCCUGACGGAGCAACGCCGCGUGAGUGAUGAAGGUCUUCGGAUCGUAAAACUCUGUUAUUAGGGAAGAACAUAUGUGUAAGUAACUGUGCACAUCUUGACGGUACCUAAUCAGAAAGCCACGGCUAACUACGUG
RNAcentral lists this ribosomal RNA (496 nucleotides) under uncultured bacterium. RNAcentral describes it as "partial 16S ribosomal RNA". It matches the Rfam family "Bacterial small subunit ribosomal RNA", at positions 29 to 507 of the family's 1533-position model. The record is from RNAcentral.